UACGGGGGGGGCAAGCGUUGUUCGGAAUUACUGGGCGUAAAGGGCUCGUAGGCGGCCAACUAAGUCGGAUGUGAAAUCCCCAGGCUUAACCUGGGAACUGCAUCCGAUACUGGAUGGCUUGAAUCCGGGAGAGGGAUGCAGAAUUCCAGGUGUAGCGGUGAAAUGCGUAGAUAUCAGGAGGAACACCGGUGGCGAAAGCGCUCAUCUGGCCCAAUACUGACGCUGAGGCGCGAAAGCGUGGGGAGCAAACAGG
RNAcentral lists this ribosomal RNA (253 nucleotides) under uncultured bacterium. Its description in RNAcentral is "partial 16S ribosomal RNA". It matches the Rfam family "Bacterial small subunit ribosomal RNA", at positions 524 to 776 of the family's 1533-position model. The record is from RNAcentral.